UACGUAGGGGGGCGAGCGUUAUCCGGAUUUACUGGGCGUAAAGCGCGUUAAGGCGGUUGGCAAAGUUGGUGGUGAAAUCCCAGGGCUCAACCCUGGAACUGCCUCCAAUACUGGUCGACUAGAGUGUGAGAGAGGAAGGUGGAAUUCCCGGUGUAGUAGUGAAAUGCGUAGAUAUCAGGAGGAACACCAGUGGCGAAGGCGGCCUUCUGGCUCACAACUGACGCUGUAGCGCGAAAGCGUGGGGAGCGAACGGG
Molecule: ribosomal RNA, 254 nt
Filed under: uncultured bacterium
Lineage: Bacteria
Description: partial 16S ribosomal RNA
Rfam family: Bacterial small subunit ribosomal RNA
Source: RNAcentral